AGAGUUUGAUCCUGGCUCAGGAUGAACGCUAGCGACAGGCUUAACACAUGCAAGUCGAGGGGCAGCAUGGUUUGUAGCAAUACAGAUUGAUGGCGACCGGCGCACGGGUGAGUAACGCGUAUGCAACUUACCUAUCAGAGGGGGAUAGCCCGGCGAAAGUCGGAUUAAUACCCCAUAAAACAGGGUCCCGCAUGGGAAUAUUUGUUAAAGAUUCAUCGCUGAUAGAUAGGCAUGCGUUCCAUUAGGCAGUUGGCGGGGUAACGGCCCACCAAACCGACGAUGGAUAGGGGUUCUGAGAGGAAGGUCCCCACAUUGGUACUGAGACACGGACCAAACUCCUACGGAGCA
Molecule: ribosomal RNA, 348 nt
Filed under: uncultured bacterium
Lineage: Bacteria
Description: bacterial SSU rRNA
Rfam family: Bacterial small subunit ribosomal RNA
Source: RNAcentral